CGGAGUUAAAUACCCAACCAAACUAGCCCUCUUCUUCCUCGUUCAGCGCCCCCCAACCCCCCGCUCUCCCCGGCCCUUCAUAUCUUCUGAGCUGCUGUAUAUAAACCAAACCCAGUACGUAAUCUUCUUCUCUAGCGGAGUGUGGCUUCGGUUUCAUUCUCUUGGUGAUCAGUGUGUUGCCACGAUUGUAUUGGAGCUUUGGAAGAGGUUUGAUCCAUGGCGAGAGAGCAGCUGCAAGUGCUUAAUGCACUUGAUGUGGCGAAGACGCAAUGGUACCACUUCACGGCAAUUGUAAUCGCCGGCAUGGGCUUCUUCACCGACGCCUAUGAUCUGUUUUGCAUCUCGUUGGUCACCAAGCUGCUCGGCCGGAUUUAUUACCACGACAACGGGGACGCCAAGCCGGGGAAUCUGCCUCCCAAUGUCUCCGCCGCCGUCAACGGCGUCGCCCUCUGCGGCACCCUCGCCGGGCAGCUCUUCUUCGGUUGGCUCGGAGACAAAAUGGGCAGGAAGAGAGUCUAUGGUAUGACGCUUAUGCUCAUGGUCAUCGCCUCAAUUGCCUCUGGCUUGUCGUUUGGCCACAGUGCUAAAGGAGUCAUGACCACUCUCUGCUUCUUCCGCUUCUGGCUCGGCUUCGGCAUCGGCGGCGACUACCCUCUCUCCGCCACCAUCAUGUCGGAAUACGCCAACAAAAAGACCCGCGGCGCCUUCAUCGCUGCCGUGUUCGCCAUGCAAGGCUUCGGAAUUUUGACCGGCGGGGUUGUGGCCAUCAUAGUUUCUACUACUUUCAAGUCCAAAUUCCCUGCCCCUGCAUAUAAAGACAACCCUCUUGCCUCGACUGUUCCGGAAGCCGACUAUGUUUGGCGUAUAAUUCUAAUGUUCGGAGCCAUCCCGGCCGCGCUGACCUACUACUGGCGGAUGAAGAUGCCGGAAACUGCCAGGUACACCGCCCUAAUCGCCAAGAACGCCAAGCAGGCGGCUGCCGAUAUGUCCAAAGUGUUGCAGGUUGAGUUAGAAGCAGAGCCGGACAAAUUGGAUAAGCUUGCUCAGGAGCAGAAGAACAGCUUCGGAUUGUUCUCGAAGGAGUUUCUCCGCCGCCACGGGCUUCACUUGCUCGGCACCACCUCCACGUGGUUCCUCCUCGACAUCGCCUUCUACAGCCAGAACCUCUUCCAGAAGGACAUCUUCUCCGCGGUUGGGUGGAUUCCCAAAGCCGAAACAAUGAACGCCAUUGAAGAGGUUUUCAGAAUCGCGAGAGCUCAGACUCUCAUUGCCCUCUGCAGCACCGUGCCCGGCUACUGGUUCACCGUGGCGUUGAUCGACAGAAUUGGCAGAUUCGCCAUUCAGCUGAUGGGCUUCUUCUUCAUGACAGUGUUCAUGUUCGCCCUGGCCAUUCCCUACAAUCACUGGAAGCAUCCGGACAACCGGAUCGGCUUCGUCAUCAUGUACGCGCUCACCUUCUUCUUCGCGAAUUUCGGGCCGAACGCGACAACCUUCGUCGUCCCGGCCGAGAUUUUCCCGGCGAGGUUGAGAUCCACUUGCCAUGGAAUCUCUGCGGCGGCCGGAAAAGCUGGCGCAAUCAUCGGGGCGUUCGGGUUCUUAUAUGCUGCUCAGGACAAGAACCCGGCGAAGACUGAUAAAGGAUACCCACCUGGUAUUGGCGUGAAGAAUUCACUCAUCGUUCUCGGCGUAGUCAACUUCUUGGGCAUCAUGUUCACUUUCUUGGUGCCUGAAUCCAAAGGAAAAUCGCUGGAGGAAAUGUCUCAGGAAAACGAGGAAGAAGAAGGGUCUGGAGCUGGGCCUGACAUUAGAGCUCCUCCAGUUUGAUUAAUCAAAUCCUUUUCUUGGUAGGACAUCACCGGCAAUGGAGUAGGAGGUGGCGUUUGAUGGUGACGAUAAUAAUGGAAGAGGGUUGACAGCGUUGGGAGGCUUGUGGCGAUGACACGACCCACCAACACGAGGCUAUUUGUGGUGGCUUACCUAGAUGACGGCGACGGCGAUUAUGAAAGAGGGGCGACGAUAAUGGCUGAAGUGAAGGGAAGAUGAUAGGGGUACCAACUUUUGAGAGUAGGAUAGUCUUUUACUUAGUCAAUGCAACCAAACAGUUUGCACUUCCUUGUGGUCUGCCUGCACAGUAAUUGCGAAAAGCCAGCACUGGCAUUUGUUUCGUGGUGGCGAAACCGUACAUUUGGUAGCUUAAUGUUAAAAUGGAGGGGCCAUUGAAUUGGACAUUGUAAUUGAAUGUUUCUAGGGGCUGGAGCCCCAAUGUUUCCAAGUCCAGGAGGAUAUUUUCCGCUGCAUAUUGAUCAGAAGAUAAGGACCUCUCAAUUCACCUGGCCCUAACACCUCAAGUGGUUGAGAGAAAGGAUGAGAAAGAUUAAAUGAAUCAUAUACCUGCACGUGACGAUGCAACAAAUAUAAGAGUUGCUUAUGUUAUAUGUCGACGAAAAGUUACUUCGAUUGUCUUUCAUACUCCUCUUUUGUGUAAAGAGAAAAUAUUCAAUGCAAUGUGUAUAGUAUUUCAAUUCAUGUA
Molecule: RNA transcript, 2530 nt
Organism: Diospyros lotus (date-plum)
Lineage: Eukaryota; Viridiplantae; Streptophyta; Magnoliopsida; Ericales; Ebenaceae
Gene name: inorganic phosphate transporter 1-4-like
Exons: 5
Source: RefSeq, a predicted model, not a curated record